GCAUAUCAAUAAGCGGAGGAAAAGAAACCAACAGGGAUUGCCCCAGUAACGGCGAGUGAAGCGGCAACAGCUCAAAUUUGAAAUCCGGCCCCCGGGGCCCGAGUUGUAAUUUGCAGAGGAUGCUUCGGGCGAGGCGCCUUCCGAGUUCCCUGGAACGGGACGCCACAGAGGGUGAGAGCCCCGUCUGGUCGGACGCCGAGCCCGCGUGAAGCUCCUUCGACGAGUCGAGUAGUUUGGGAAUGCUGCUCAAAACGGGAGGUAUAUGUCUUCUAAAGCUAAAUACCGGCCAGAGACCGAUAGCGCACAAGUAGAGUGAUCGAAAGAUGAAAAGCACUUUGAAAAGAGGGUUAAAAAGUACGUGAAAUUGUUGAAAGGGAAGCGCCCGCGACCAGACUUGGGCCCGGCGGAUCACCCGGCGUUCUCGCCGGCGCACUCCGCCGGGCACAGGCCAGCAUCGGUCCGGCGCGGGGGACAAAGGCUCUGGGAACGUGGCUCCCCCGGGAGUGUUAUAGCCCACCGCGCAAUGCCCUGCGCCGGACCGAGGAACGCGCACCGCAAGGAUGCUGGCGUAAUGGUCGCCGGCGACCCGUCUUGAAACACGGACCAAGGAGUCGUCUUCGUAUGCGAGUGUUCGGGUGUCAAACCCCUACGCGGAAUGAAAGUGAACGCAGGUGAGAGCCUCGGCGCAUCAUCGACCGAUCCUGAUGUCCUCGGAUGGAUUUGAGUAGGAGCAUACGGGGCCGGACCCGAAAGAAGGUGAACUAUGCCUGCGUAGGGUGAAGCCAGAGGAAACUCUGGUGGAGGCUCGCAGCGGUUCUGACGUGCGAAUCGAUCGUCAAACGUGGGCAUGGGGGCGAAAGACUAAUCGAACCUUCUAGUAGCUGGUUUCCGCC
RNAcentral lists this ribosomal RNA (893 nucleotides) under Hevansia novoguineensis. RNAcentral describes it as "partial large subunit ribosomal RNA". It matches the Rfam family "Eukaryotic large subunit ribosomal RNA", at positions 38 to 962 of the family's 3401-position model. The record is from RNAcentral. Lineage: Eukaryota; Fungi; Ascomycota; Sordariomycetes; Hypocreales; Cordycipitaceae.